GAUGAAGAACGUAGCGAAAUGCGAUAAGUAAUGUGAAUUGCAGAAUUCAGUGAAUCAUCGAAUCUUUGAACGCACAUUGCGCCCGCCAGUAUUCUGGCGGGCAUGCCUGUUCGAGCGUCAUUUCAACCAUCAAGCCCCCGGCUUGUGUUGGGGACCUGCGGCUGCCGCAGGCCCUGAAAAGCAGUGGCGGGCUCGCUGUCACACCGAGCGUAGUAGCAUACAUCUCGCUCUGGGCGUGCUGCGGGUUCCGGCCGUUAAACCACCUUCAUAACCCAAGGUUGACCUCGGAUCAGUUAGGAAGACCCGCUGAACUUAAGCAUAUCAAUAAGCGGAGGA
Molecule: unclassified non-coding RNA, 336 nt
Filed under: soil metagenome
Description: partial contains 5.8S ribosomal RNA, internal transcribed spacer 2, and large subunit ribosomal RNA
Rfam family: 5.8S ribosomal RNA (bases 1-120)
Source: RNAcentral